Molecule: ribosomal RNA, 253 nt
Filed under: uncultured bacterium
Lineage: Bacteria
Description: partial 16S ribosomal RNA
Rfam family: Bacterial small subunit ribosomal RNA
Source: RNAcentral
UACAGAGGGGGCAAGCGUUAUUCGGAAUUAUUGGGCGUAAAGGGCGCGUAGGCGGCUUUGCAAGUGGCGGGUGAAAUCCCUCGGCUUAACCGAGGAACUGCCUCCCAAACUGCUUGGCUUGAGACCAGGAGAGGUGAGUGGAAUUCCCAGUGUAGCGGUGAAAUGCGUAGAUAUUGGGAGGAACACCAGUGGCGAAGGCGGCUCACUGGACUGGUACUGACGCUGAUGCGCGAAAGCGUGGGGAGCAAACGGG